CUUUUGUCUGAGCCACUCAGUUGGAAGACAAACUUCUUCUGGAAUUCUACACUGCUUCUGCACAUUCUGUAUGAUGCCCACUACUACUCUGAUUCUCAGACGGGACACUUCUUUGACACCACCAGCUUUCAACUUUUUAAAUAGGUAGUUGUUCAUCAUUCAGAACGCAGCCGAAGCCAAAGCUGCACGUUGAGUUGUAUCCAGGUGCUGUCUCCAUUUGGGCCUGGCCAGCUGGUUCUGCUGUGCAUUUCCUGAUGUGUCAGAAACACUACUUUAUGAGUCUACCUGGCACUUCACAAUGAAGCCUGCAACGUAGGUUGUUUCUCAGAUCCAGCAGACAGGGUGUGUUAAGAACUAAUCAUUGUGUGUGUGUCCCUGUACACAACUACACACACAGUGUGCCCAGAACAGUCAAGUUAUUUCUCAGAGGCUUGAGAUAUAAGCUUUCCGUUCUUCUCCUCAGUAUACAUAAGGGCUGUUCUAAUGGUUAUAUUUUUCACCAAUAAUACCUUUUAAAAAUCACCUUUAACAAUUUGUCGAUAAGAAUGUCAAUUCUAAAUAUUCUGGUAUUUUUACCAGAGUAUCUGGUAAGUGUCUGAUAAGGGUAUAUUUGCCUGACUUUUCUUUCAUGUUUUGGUAUGAAAGCGGACAACUUCAUCUCAAAAGGAACUGGAUCAGACAAACAUCCAGAUUCUUAAAGAACACACUUCACUAAACUCCUGCUCACUUUGGUCCAGUCAUUAUCAUCUUCUGCGUCCACCAAGGAGCUCAGUUUGAAGAGCUGCAAUGCUGAAAUUCACUGGAUUGAUGGCUGGCUCACAUACCUAUAGUAGCCUGCAAGAAUUUUAGAAAAGAGAAUUCCCUAGAAUAUCUGCUUUGGGGCAAGGAGAGGAACAGCAGACGUUCUACCAGUGGCCAGAUGUGUGGUUUUAUAAAGAUUUCCAUGAGAAUUCUCUGGGAUUGAAGACUUUAUCAGAAGCGCAGGGAUCUUUGAUUUAUGCCUUCACACCGAUGUCUUCAAAUUGCCUGAGCAACAUUGUGAAGAUGAGCCUGUCCUCCUUUUUACUCACACAGCCUUCAUGGGUCUUCUGUUUUCUCUUGGCUAAGGUCAAGCAUACAUUCUGACCCAGACCCUUCCCAGUGACAUUCAUCGUGCCUUUCUCAAGUACUUGUGCCCCUGGAAUCCACGUUCAGCUCUGGAUGUGAUGACGUCAUCUAUAAUCCCAGCAUUCCUUGGGGAGUCGGGAGGCACAGACAGGAGAGGAGCCUGGCACCUUGCGGGUUAGCUAGUGCGGAGCACAAGCUGCAGCUGUAGAAAUCUCUCUGCCUCAGCAAGCUGGAAGAUGUUUAUACCUUCAACUUAUGAAAAUGGAUGAAUUUUAGAGAGCCUGGAAAUACAUGAAAACAAGAUAACACUUUGUAAACUGGAUAGUGACUCCUUGGAAGAUGUCCACAUCUGAAUCCCAGAACUUGUAAAUGUGCUAUUUUGAUUGGUAAAACAGACCUUUGUGAAUGUGAUUGAAUCAGUGAGCAUGAGAUGAGGAGAUCAUUCUGGACUGUCAUUAUGGACCACCCUUAUCUCGAGCAUCCUCCUAAGAGGGAGACAAGAGGACCACCAUCAGCCACAAGCAUCCUCCUAAGAGGGAGACAAGAGGACCACCAUCAGCCACAAGCAUCCUCCUAAGAGGGAGACUAGAGGACCACCAUCAGCCACAAGCAUCCUCCUAAGAGGGAGGCAAGAGGACCACUGUCAGUAGCAAGAGCUGUGAUAGCAGAGAGAGAGAGCAGAAUGAUCCCUGGAAGAGAUCAUUGACAGAGGGAUGUGGAUAGUCUCCAGAAUGAGAAAAGACAGAGGCAGGUGUCCCCCUUGGUGCCUGCAGAAGAAUCUAGUCCAGCUAACGCCUGAGUAUUAAUUAGUUCAUGAAACUAACUUUUAACAUCUGACCACCAAAUUGUAGGAGAAUAAAGUGUAUUGCUAUGAAUUUGUGGUUAUAAUUUAUGAGCACGGUGGGGAACCAAAGCAAUGGUAAAUUACGAGACAGGAGAUACAGUAGAUUCCAAGGAGGAAACGCAGCUGCCGUUAUGUUAUUGGAGCCCUGGAGAAAGAAAAAAAGAUAAUUCUAAGAAGAGAGGAAUGCCGAGACAACCAAGCAGAAGACAAUUCUAAAUACCCUGUUGUCAUCCAAGAGAAUUUGAUUAUGCAAUAUUUUAGUGAACGGUGCACUCCACGUGGGCUUCUUCUAUUUCUAUUUUUUUCUUUUCUUAUACUCUCCUUUCGGUCAAAGGUCAUUGUUAGUUUUUUAUAUUGCUACCAAUAUGCCCCAGAAACUGACUCUUGAGAUGAUGUCCAUGAACAUCUGAAAAUCUGAAUUCAGCCAUAGCGUAGACGACUUUUUCCACAGAUGAUUGAGCUGUCUACAUCACUUACUUGAGAAUUGCUGGGAUUAUAAAACCCGACAGAAGGAACUUAACUGUGGAAGUCUUUUUUUUUUUUCUCCAAGUUUCGGAAGUGUUAGCAGAUCAUGACUAGGAAAACAUGGAUUUAUUUGUGGAAGCAGGAGUAUGUGGCAGAGGAUCCUUACAUCAUGGUGGAUCACGAAGCAGAGGAGUGGGAUGAGAUGCUAAGUGCCUGGUACAGUCCUCCUCCUGCUCUUCUUCUUCCUCCUCCUCCUCUUCCUCCUUCUCCUUCUCCUUCUCCUUUCCUCCUCCUUCUUCCUCCUCUUCUUCCUCUUCCUUCUCUUCCUUUUAAAAACCUGAUUUGUUUUAUUUUAUGUGUAUAAAUGUCUUUUACACAUGUAUGUCUCUGUACCAUAUGCAUGCUUGGUACCCACAGAAGUCAUAAGAGGUCAGAGGUCAUAAGAGGUCAGAUCUCCUGUAAUGAGUGAUUUGUCAUGUGCAUGCUGAGAACUGAACCCAAGUCCUCUGCAAAAGAUAAGUGAUCUUAACUUCUGACCAAUCUUUCCAUUCCACGUGGGUUGUUUUUUUUUUUUAACUUUGGCCUCUUUGAGCAAGUUUUAUUUGUCCACAUGUUCCAUACAUUUUUUUUUGCUUACAAAAUUGCAUAUAUUUUCUAUUUCCUUGCCCCCCUUUUUACUUCUGAUUGUCACAGUAAACCCUGAUAAAAGCUGACAUCAGUAACCAUGCCACACAACUGGACUGCCAUAUUGUCUUAAAUUAUCCUCUGUCCUAUAAAUUAGUCUACCACUUUUUUACUGAUUUAGUCUCAUUCAAGAUGUCAGGGCAUAACCACAACAUGGGAUAUUUUACUGGAACCAGAUGUGAAUGCCUCCUAUUUCCAGUAGACUCUUGCUUCUCAUUAGGAAACUCAACAUUUUUUUUGUCUCUUUACAUAGCCCUGGCUGUCCUGUAACUCAUUAUGUAAAUCAGGUUGGCCUCAAGCUCACAGAGAUCUGUCUCCCUCUGCCUCUUCAGUGCUGAGAUUAAGGGUCUGCACUAUGUUGCCUGGUGUAUUAUCUGCAUUCUAGCAGCAUCCUUGUCUCUAGAAGUCAUCUGUAUCAUCCAUUUUUUUUUCUGCUUACAGCACUCAGAGUCUGAAGCUCUGAGUAUUUCCAAAUCCCUCCCCAGAGAUGCUCUUCAGGGCUAAAAACCAUAAGGUCAAGUUUGAUGCUUGGCCUUUGGUUGGUGGUUCAGUCUCUGGGAGUUUGCAAGGUCCAGUUUAGUUGACUCUGUUGGAUAGUGACUCCAGCUUAAAGAUAAGACUGUAAUUAUACAAAUGAUUUCCCACUCUACAUUUUUCAGUGGAAGAAAAAGUAGUCCUUUCUUCUCAUCAGUAUGCAGUUCUUCUCUUCAGUCUGAAGUCAGAGUGGCCAAGCCAUAUUUACAUGAUAGCACAUGACUGUCUACAGAGGUCAUGAGACUUGGGCAUAUAGAGAUAUGAACAGAUUCUGAGACCAAGACUAAGACAGGGUUUUGGUGUGAAGUGACUAAGGUUACAUCAUCCUGACUCCAUUUUGUGGUUGCUUUGACAGUUCUCCACCUUCUAUUCCCUCCCAGUCCACUCCCAACAGCCAUGUCUGCUUGGAAACACAUUUGGAAUUUCCAUGACCCUGAUCAUGUUCCAGAUGUAUUAAUGAACAUAACACAUGUUUAUACAAACUUAAACUAAAAGAACUGAAGGGGGAAUAAGUCAAAGUUAGUGUCAUGUUGUAUCUGAAAUAACUAUGUUCUGCCUAAACAAAUGUCUCCAGGCUACUCUGACUCUCAUCUCACAUCGAUGUAACCAUGGUGUUGAUUUUAAAAAUGCUGUACCCCUAAGGUUGGCACCAAGAGACUUUGAGGCAUGAGCCUACUCUUGGUCACCAGCCAAAAUUAAAGGGUACAUAUUCUCUUAAUUGGCUUAGUCAACAUGGCUGCCUAUAUCUUUCUCAUGUGGGUUUAUUACUAAUAGACACAAUAAUAGAAGGGGGAAAUUAAAAUUUUGAAAUAGGGGUUUUCAACUUCAGUACCAAUGAAGAAAGAAUGGCUGCUGAGCCCCCUUAUCUAGUUGUACUAAUUUCUCUUUCUGCUGUUAACUAGACUAGCUCUGCCACGAAUUGCCCAAACCAGAGCUACAUUUACUAUAGAGAAGAUAUCUAUUUCUUGUUUUGAGCCUGAAGAAGACACAGAAAGCAGCAAGAAUGUAGAACUGAGUUCUUCUGACUACUUCUGUGUAGAACACAAGCUGAGAGACUAUGCUAAGGGCAACAUCUUUAUAUGACCCAUCCAGUUGGUAAAGUGAUAGUAUUUACAAACUUCACUGUAUCAAGGACAACUAAGGCACAAGGGCUAAAUGACUUGUCCAUGGUGGAGUCCACAGGAAACUAAAUCCAGGCAUGCAUGGGUCUGUGCUGUGUUCUCCACUGCUCUGUGUCACAAUGGCGCCAUGAAGCACAUUAAGCAACGCACCAGCUCCCGGCAGUGCUGGCCGCAAGUCAUUAAUUAUGGCAUCUAUCUACUCCUAGGCAGAAGGAAUUGGCUCUGUAAUUACCACCCUAAUGAUGUCUUUUGUUUAACAGACAUAUAACAUUUAUUUCUAUUACCUGGAAGGAAAAUGAGCAGUCCUCUAUUAAAAAAAAAAUCCUCAAAGUCCAGGAGGACUAGACCAGUGAUGACUUGUCUUUAUCAGUUUUGGAGCAUCCCUGAGAUGAUGAGAUAUUUUAGGGACUAAGGAGAUGAGUAAAUAGAUCACUUGCAGUACCAGUAUGAAGACCUGAGUUCAGGUCCACAGAACCCACAUAAAGGUGAGUACAGUGGGGGUGUACCUUGUGCCUCAGCCCUGUGGUAGUGGAGGCAAUGACACAUGGGUCCUUGGGGGCUCUUGGUUGCCCAGAAUGAGAUCUGAUGCAAGAAACCCAUCUCACAAAAUAAGGUAGAGAACAACUGAGAAAGACACCUGAGGUUAACUUCUAGCAUAUGAGAUGUGUACACAGAUGCAUGUGCACCUAUGUGCAUGUGUGCAAACAGACACACACACAAGCAAAAUCAUGUAUACAUAUAUUCUGUACAUCAUGAGUCAGGACUAUAUGUUUCACUGUGAAAACAGUCUUUGCUUUAGAAUUUCCAACCCCUCAGCCUAGAACUGAGAAAUGAACAUCCAGGAGAUCUCCAGCUUCAAUCCAUCCUGCAGUUGCCUGGCCCCCUCCCGUGGAUGUUUCUCCUUCUUGUUAUUCUUGUCAUACACACAGCCAAGCCUGACACAGUUUUUAGGAGCCAUCUUAAGGAGGUUAAUUAUUGGUGUGCUGAUGAAUUGAGAUGACCCAGGAAACAGAUGAUCCAGUCCCCUUGAGCAAAGCUCCCGAAAGCUAAGCUCCCUUAAAUCCUUCUUGCUGUUGUGAAAGGUUCACUUCAGAGCCUGUUAGAGAGGAGCCCCCACAGACACCCCCACUGUACUCACCAGGAUGUCCUUCUGUGUUCUUUCUUCACAGCAGCAGAAGGAGCUUCGAUGCAGGAAUCUAUGCCACCAUCAGCUGGAAAAGAAGCUUCAACUAUUCUUACCACAUUAAACGUUAAUUAAAAUUCUAUUGAAUCAUU
Molecule: long non-coding RNA, 6030 nt
Organism: Mus musculus (house mouse)
Lineage: Eukaryota; Metazoa; Chordata; Mammalia; Rodentia; Muridae
Product: predicted gene, 34907
Exons: 7
Source: RefSeq, a predicted model, not a curated record